Molecule: ribosomal RNA, 1220 nt
Filed under: metagenome
Description: bacterial LSU rRNA
Rfam family: Bacterial large subunit ribosomal RNA
Source: RNAcentral
CAGGUGGUCAAGGAGAGAAUCCUGAGGCGCUCGGAUGAAUCACGGUUAAGGAACUCGGCAAAUUAGCCCCGUAACUUCGGGAAAAGGGGCGCCAGCAGCAAUGCUGGCCGCAGAAAAAUGGCUCAGGCGACUGUUUAUCAAAAACACAGGGCUCUGCAAAAUCGCAAGAUGAAGUAUAGGGCCUGACACCUGCCCGGUGCCGGAAGGUUAAGAGGAGAGGUUAGCGCAAGCGAAGCUUUGAAUCGAAGCCCCGGUAAACGGCGGCCGUAACGAUAACGGUCCUAAGGUAGCGAAAUUCCUUGUCGGGUAAGUUCCGACCUGCACGAAUGGUGUAACGAUCUGAGCACUGUCUCAACCGUGAGUCCGGUGAAAUUGUAGUAUCGGUGAAGAUGCCGGUUACCCGCUACGGGACGGAAAGACCCCGUGAACCUUCACUAUAGCUUUACAUUGACAUUUGACAAAAGUUGUGUAGGAUAGGUGGGAGGCUUCGAAGCGGUUUCGCCAGGAAUCGUGGAGCCACCGUUGAAAUACCACCCUUCGUUUGUCGGGUGUCUAACGUCGCGGUGCGACAGACAGUGUAUGGCGGGUAGUUUGACUGGGGUGGUCGCCUCCAAAAAAGUAUCGGAGGCUUCCAAAGGUACCCUCAGCACGCUUGGUAACCGUGCGCAGAGUGCAAUGGCAUAAGGGUGCUUGACUGCGAGACCAACAAGUCGAGCAGGGACGAAAGUCGGGCAUAGUGAUCCGGCGGUUCCGUAUGGAAGGGCCGUCGCUCAAAGGAUAAAAGGUACUCCGGGGAUAACAGGCUGAUCACUCCCAAGAGCUCACAUCGACGGAGUGGUUUGGCACCUCGAUGUCGGCUCGUCACAUCCUGGGGCUGGAGAAGGUCCCAAGGGUUAGGCUGUUCGCCUAUUAAAGUGGCACGCGAGCUGGGUUCAGAACGUCGUGAGACAGUUCGGUCCCUAUCUGUAGCGGGCGUUGGAAAAUUGCGGAGAGCUGACCCUAGUACGAGAGGACCGGGUCGGACGUACCUCCGGUGUACCUGUUGUCUCGCCAGAGGCACCGCAGGGUAGCCGCGUACGGAACGGAUAAGCGCUGAAAGCAUCUAAGCGCGAAGCCGACUCCAAGAUGAGUUUUCCUUAUCAGGGCCGUGGAAGAUCACCACGUCGAUAGGCCACAGGUGUAAAGGCGGUAACGUCAAAGCCGAGUGGUACUAAUUGCCU